GACGAACGCUGGCGGCGUGCCUAAUACAUGCAAGUAGAACGCUGAAGGAGGAGCUUGCUCUUCUGGAUGAGUUGCGAACGGGUGAGUAACGCGUAGGUAACCUGCCUGGUAGCGGGGGAUAACUAUUGGAAACGAUAGCUAAUACCGCAUAAUAGUAGAUGCUGCAUGAUAUUUACUUAAAAGGUGCAAUUGCACCACUACCAGAUGGACCUGCGUUGUAUUAGCUAGUUGGUGGGGUAACGGCUCACCAAGGCGACGAUACAUAGCCGACCUGAGAGGGGGAUCGGCCACACUGGGACUGAGACACGGCCCAGACUCCUACGGGAGGCAGCAGUAGGGAAUCUUCGGCAAUGGACGAAAGUCUGACCGAGCAACGCCGCGUGAGUGAAGAAGGUUUUCGGAUCGUAAAGCUCUGUUGUAAGAGAAGAACGAGUGUGAGAGUGGAAAGUUCACACUGUGACGGUAUCUUACCAGAAAGGGACGGCUAACUACGUG
RNAcentral lists this ribosomal RNA (495 nucleotides) under uncultured bacterium. RNAcentral describes it as "partial 16S ribosomal RNA". It matches the Rfam family "Bacterial small subunit ribosomal RNA", at positions 28 to 507 of the family's 1533-position model. The record is from RNAcentral.